CCCCAGACCCCAGAGCCCAGCUCCCACCUCACUUCAGUUCACCCUUUUUCCACUCGUGGGACUGCGACUGUAACUGGGACCUGGCCCAAGCUGCGAUUUUUAUGACAGGUUAAUGACACAACUACAACUACGACAAUGAUGGUGCUGCUGAUGAUGAAGCCAAGGCGGGAGUGCAAUACCCACAACCAGGAAAGCUUUGAAAGGACUUAGAUAUGGAUCCUCUCUAAAACAACUAACCCUAGUAUGCCAGUACUUAUUCAUUUUUUGCUAGUGUAUAAGUGCAAUGACUAGGUGACUACUCGGAUGAGUGGGCCGACUCAGCUUGUUGCUGGCUAGCCAUUAAUCAGUCCGCCCUGUGACCAAGCGACUGACCCCAAUAAACAUGACAGGCUCGGCCAUUGGAUUACAAGGCAGGAAGAAAGGCAGACUGAAGAGUGCCAAGUAGCAGGACUUAUCCUCAACUUUACAGAAAUGGGGUGGGACCACACAAAGAAGCCACCGCGAAUCAAUCAAUUAAUUGCACAUUUUCUACACGAGUUCAUCGAACCCCCGAACUCCGCAGCAGCCCUUAAAAUAGGGACAAAAGAAAAGUGCCAAAGGAAAGCCAGCGAAAUGAAUAAAUGUAUAGGAAAAUGAUGGGAUCGAGUGACAGGAGUGAUUGACACUCGACUGCCGGUGGCUUUGAGGUUCAAGGAAAUGGAAAAUACUACUAGCAUGAUAUAUAAUUCGAUUUUAAUGAAGUAGUUUAGCACUAAAAGUGGGUUAUAGCGGUGAUACUUUACAAAGAACUCCAUUAAAAGCUUAACUCCUUAAAGGAAUAAACAUUUAAA
This is a long non-coding RNA of Drosophila erecta, 830 nucleotides long. RefSeq lists it as uncharacterized. The transcript has 2 exons. The record is from RefSeq and is a predicted model, not a curated record. NCBI's taxonomy places the organism in Eukaryota, Metazoa, Arthropoda, Insecta, Diptera, Drosophilidae.